RNAcentral lists this ribosomal RNA (167 nucleotides) under Salmonella enterica subsp. enterica. RNAcentral describes it as "partial 16S ribosomal RNA". It matches the Rfam family "Bacterial small subunit ribosomal RNA", at positions 1380 to 1533 of the family's 1533-position model. The record is from RNAcentral. Lineage: Bacteria; Pseudomonadati; Pseudomonadota; Gammaproteobacteria; Enterobacterales; Enterobacteriaceae.
CUUGUACACACCGCCCGUCACACCAUGGGGAGUGGGUUGCAAAAGAAGUAGGUAGCUUAACCUUCGGGAGGGCGCUUACCACUUUGUGAUUCAUGACUGGGGUGAAGUCGUAACAAGGUAACCGUAGGGGAACCUGCGGUUGGAUCACCUCCUUACCUKAAAGAARC